Molecule: ribosomal RNA, 444 nt
Filed under: Triticum aestivum (bread wheat)
Lineage: Eukaryota; Viridiplantae; Streptophyta; Magnoliopsida; Poales; Poaceae
Description: partial small subunit ribosomal RNA
Source: RNAcentral
AUGAAGGACCUUGGAGAAGCUGCUUAUAUAUUAGGCAUCAAGAUCUAUAGAGAUAGAUCAAGACGCCUCAUUGGUCUUUCACAGAGUACGUACCUUGACAAGAUAUUGAAGAAGUUCAAUAUGGAUCAGUCCAAGAAGGGGUUCUUGCCUGUAUUGCAAGGUGUGCAAUUGAGCACGGCUCAAUGCCCGACCACGGCAGAAGAUAGAGAAAAGAUGAGUGUCAUCCCCUAUGCCUCGGCCAUAGGGUCUAUUAUGUAUGCCAUGCUGUGUACCAGACCUGAUGUAAACCUUGCCGUAAGUUUGGUAGGAGGGUACCAAAGUAAUCCUGGCAUGGAACACUGGACAGCGGUCAAGAAUAUCCUAAAGUACCUGAAGAGGACUAAGGAUAUGUUUCUCGUUUAUGGAGGUGACGAAGAGCUCGUCGUAAAGGGUUACAUCGACGCU